This 450-nucleotide ribosomal RNA is filed under the name uncultured bacterium. Its description in RNAcentral is "bacterial SSU rRNA". It matches the Rfam family "Bacterial small subunit ribosomal RNA", at positions 354 to 796 of the family's 1533-position model. The record is from RNAcentral.
GUGGGGAAUAUUGGACAAUGGGCGAAAGCCUGAUCCAGCCAUGCCGCGUGUGUGAAGAAGGUCUUCGGAUUGUAAAGCACUUUAAGUUGGGAGGAAGGGCAGUAAGUUAAUACCUUGCUGUUUUGACGUUACCGACAGAAUAAGCACCGGCUAACUUCGUGCCAGCAGCCGCGGUAAUACGAAGGGUGCAAGCGUUAAUCGGAAUUACUGGGCGUAAAGCGCGCGUAGGUGGUUUUGUAAGUUGGAGGUGAAAUCCCCGGGCUCAACCUGGGAACUGCCUCCAAAACUACUGAGCUAGAGUACGGUAGAGGGUAGUGGAAUUUCCUGUGUAGCGGUGAAAUGCGUAGAUAUAGGAAGGAACACCAGUGGCGAAGGCGACUACCUGGACUGAUACUGACACUGAGGUGCGAAAGCGUGGGGAGCAAACAGGAUUAGAUACCCCUGUAGUCC